GUAGGUGAACCUGCGGAAGGAUCAUUAACACGUAUCCACGUAUAACCCCUGUGCAUUUGUAUUGUGUGCGAUCUACAGCGGGAGUGCUUACGGCGAUAUGGUGAGCCCUCUUCGGGGGGUCGGUCCGUAAGCUAGGGUCUUUCACGUCAGUGUCAGAACCCAGGCUGCCUGCUGUGGGAUGCAUUCACCAUGGUUGUUUUUCCCCACUUUAACACCUUGUAAAUAUUGUUAACUGAUUCUAAUGUGCAUC
RNAcentral lists this unclassified non-coding RNA (250 nucleotides) under plant metagenome. RNAcentral's name for it is "partial contains small subunit ribosomal RNA, internal transcribed spacer 1, and 5.8S ribosomal RNA". The record is from RNAcentral.